UAAAGAGAUUUAGCCGAAGUUAACACAAAAACUAGUUAGCCCCUAAUAUUAAAUUAGCUAGUGAAGCUGUCAAGGGCAUGUAAUGGCCGAGCAUAGUAACAGCUUAGAGAGACAUAGCUGAAAGGCAAAUGUGCGCUAUUCAGGAAGCCUUAUUCUCUCUAUCAAAGUCAGUGAACUUUGACUUAAAUACUCUCUUCUACUCAUUUGCUUUUAACGCAAUUCUAAAAACUCAUUCUAGUAAGGAAUUGUAAGCUGAAGCUAGAAGAGACAGGAAAGGGGUAUAAACUUAAAAAUAACUCUUAUAAAAUUAGGAUAUACCUUACAUAUAUUUAAAACAAAGCUCACUAAGGUUUCCCACAAGAGUUUAUAUGCAUAUGUACAAAGAUUUUUUUGCUAUAUGCUUUUCUUAAUUCAGUAUAAUAGUAUACGCAUUUUUUAGUAAAACAGUUAAUGCUUUUCACAUUCAUCUAAAAAAACUGAAUAACCUAUAUUUUGGCAUCCUCUAGAAAAAUAUGUAGACCAAAUGAUAUGUUAUGUAUCUAUCAUAGAUGACUAUUUCUUAGAAGUAAUGGAGAAAAUUACAGAAACUCUAAAAGGGGGAAAAUAUUUCAGUUGAUGGAAAGAAUGAUGCUAAUGGUCCUAAUGUAUGCAAUGUCAUAAUAGGAACUCUGGAUCAAGAUUUAGCUGAGUGACUGAUAUUUGGAAUUAGUGGAAAGUAUUAGCUUUUGUAGCCAGCAUUGGGAUUUCUACCUGCUUUCGAUACCAUUUGAGGUUACCCAAGGCUGAAAAUGCUGUUUGGAAUUUGUAUUUAUCUUGGAUCAGAAGCCUCAAGUAAGGUGUAAUACCAUCCAGAAACCCAGAAGUGGAUGGAGACACAGGAGGACUCUCGGCAGAAGGGAAUUUUACGAUAAUUCUAAAGCAAUAAAACUUUUAAAAGACUAUUAAUAAUGUAAUUUUGGCAUUUCAAAAGUUAUAAACUACUUGUGUGAAAAUUGUAUCAAUGUACCACUUAUAACAAAAUUAUAAAUUAAAGAAUAUGAUACAAAUCACAGAGAACUAUAACUAUGGCAUUUGGGGGGUGAACAUUUUCUUAUUUCAUUUAGAAUUUAGGAAUAUAAAAUUUUCUUAAAUUCCAUAGGAAUUGAAGAAAUACAAAAAAUUAGAUUUCCUAAUUUUUAUGAAAUUGAUUUUUGCAUCAUUUAAAACAACUUUGUGAGUGGAAGCAUAUGUUCACAACCAAUGCAAAAACUGAAGAAUACUGUUAAUGAUGUUACCAUAUGCAUAUGAUGAGCAUUUAAAAUUAAACAGAAUUAAAAUUUAAAAAAAAAAUAACCUUAUUUGCUAAGAGUGAACCAUGUAUAUUUACUGCAUCUAGCUUCACAAAUUUAUUAAGAAAGUUUAUUUUCACAAAUUAUAAGAAUUACACUAAAAAGUCAAUUUUUUUAAAGUAAAAGUCUGAUAUUUACUGCAGUAGGUUCUUAAAUAGAAAGCAAGGGGACAUGCAGCAAUUUUGAAAUGGGAACCUCAAAAUAUUCACACUUAGUUUUUGAAAAUCUCUUAAUAAUCCUGUCACUUAUCAGAUUAACCAUCAGCA
Molecule: long non-coding RNA, 1594 nt
Organism: Stegodyphus dumicola
Lineage: Eukaryota; Metazoa; Arthropoda; Arachnida; Araneae; Eresidae
Source: RefSeq, a predicted model, not a curated record